This 501-nucleotide ribosomal RNA is filed under the name uncultured Microbacterium sp. RNAcentral's name for it is "bacterial SSU rRNA". It matches the Rfam family "Bacterial small subunit ribosomal RNA", at positions 9 to 523 of the family's 1533-position model. Lineage: Bacteria; Bacillati; Actinomycetota; Actinomycetes; Micrococcales; Microbacteriaceae. The record is from RNAcentral.
GAGUUUGAUCAUGGCCAGGAUGAACGCUGGCGGCGUGCUUAACACAUGCAAGUCGAACGGUGAAAGCGGAGCUUGCUCUGCUGGAUCAGUGGCGAACGGGUGAGUAACACGUGAGCAAUCUGCCCCUGACACUGGGAUAAGCGCUGGAAACGGCGUCUAAUACCGGAUACGAGCUGCGAAGGCAUCUUCAGCAGCUGGAAAGAAUUUCGGUCAGGGAUGAGCUCGCGGCCUAUCAGCUUGUUGGUGAGGUAACGGCUCACCAAGGCGUCGACGGGUAGCCGGCCUGAGAGGGUGACCGGCCACACUGGGACUGAGACACGGCCCAGACUCCUACGGGAGGCAGCAGUGGGGAAUAUUGCACAAUGGGCGAAAGCCUGAUGCAGCAACGCCGCGUGAGGGACGACGGCCUUCGGGUUGUAAACCUCUUUUAGCAGGGAAGAAGCGAAAGUGACGGUACCUGCAGAAAAAGCACCGGCGAACUACGUGCCAGCAGCGCGGUAA